Molecule: ribosomal RNA, 508 nt
Filed under: uncultured Marvinbryantia sp.
Lineage: Bacteria; Bacillati; Bacillota; Clostridia; Lachnospirales; Lachnospiraceae
Description: bacterial SSU rRNA
Rfam family: Bacterial small subunit ribosomal RNA
Source: RNAcentral
CGUAGAGAGUUUGUAGUCCUGGCGUCAGGAUGAACGCUGGCGGCGUGCUUAACACAUGCAAGUCGAGCGGAGCACAUCAUUGGAAGUCCUUCGGGAGGAAGAGGAGUGUGGCUAGCGGCGGACGGGUGAGUAACGCGUGGACAACCUGCCCUAUGCAGGGGGAGUAACAUCCGGAAACGGGUGCUAAUACCGCAUAAGCGCACAGUACCGCAUGGUACAGUGUGAAAAGCUGAGGCGGCAUAGGAUGGGUCCGCGUUGGAUUAGGCAGUUGCGGGGUAACGGCCCACCAAACCGACGAUCCAUAGCCGGCCUGAGAGGGUGGACGGCCACAUUGGGACUGAGACACGGCCCAGACUCCUACGGGAGGCAGCAGUGGGGAAUAUUGCACAAUGGGGGGAACCCUGAUGCAGCGACGCCGCGUGGGUGAGGAAGUACUUCGGUAUGUAAAGCCCUAUCAGCAGGGAAGAAAAUGACGGUACCUGACUAAGAGGCCCCGGCUAACUACGUG